This 28-nucleotide non-coding RNA is filed under the name Homo sapiens (human). Lineage: Eukaryota; Metazoa; Chordata; Mammalia; Primates; Hominidae. The record is from RNAcentral.
UGAAAGAGGCCCUUCUUAUGGUGAGAAC